RNAcentral lists this ribosomal RNA (513 nucleotides) under Triticum aestivum (bread wheat). RNAcentral describes it as "partial small subunit ribosomal RNA". The record is from RNAcentral. Lineage: Eukaryota; Viridiplantae; Streptophyta; Magnoliopsida; Poales; Poaceae.
AUGAGACAAUUGCAUCAAAAUAAUAACUUGUCGUGGCUCCUCCUAGGUGACCUGAAUGAAAUACAAUUUCUUCAUGAAAAGGAGGGGGGAAACCCAAGGCCCAUACAAUACAUGCAAGCGUUCCAAGAGGCUAUUGAUGACUAUGAACUGCAUGAUAUUGGGUAUACUGGAGAACCAUUUACAUGGUUCAGGGGCAGAAUAAGGGAGAGAUUGGAUAGAGGCUUGAAAAAUGAUGGUUGGACUGCAAUGUUUCCUAAUGCUUCGCUCCAGAACAUGGAAUACAACCAUUCGGAUCAUAAGCCACUGUGCUUAGAUACAAACUACUCUGGUGGUGCCACGGGUGGACACAAUGCAAAAGUGAAAAGAUUUGAGGCACAGUGGUUGAGAGAAGAAACUUUUGAUGCUACUGUUCAGGAGGCAUGGGAGAAAGUAGAGGUAGACCCUAUUGCUCACGGCAUAUAUGAGAAGCUAAACAAGAUGGGCGAUUUCAUGAUUGGGACCAGCGGGUCCUGA